UUUUAAAACUCAAACGCGUUUCUCAUGUGAUUGUCACGACCGCAGUCAUUGGCUGGACUCGGGUCACAUGAUCUGAAAUAUGUAAACACGAACCCAGAAUCCGCAGUUCGCCUCAGUAAAAACAACCGAAAGCGAAGCUGAUUAUCCGAGGUAAACAACCUCACUUUCCCUCCCAGCUUUCCUCGUGUUUGCGCUGCGCCGUUUGCGCACCAGCUGACUGCAAAGGCGCAGCCGCAGCGAGCCUAUAGGCUGAGUCUCCGCCUGCGUGUCCUGUCAGCGAUUUGCUCCAGGGUCUGACAGGAGCGCAGCCGGCGGAGCCGAUGACAGUCCGAGCAUGGAGAACCCGGAGAGAGGAGGCAGGAGGAACAGGAACCCGCUGGCCACCGCCAACCUGCUUUCAAAGCUGUUCCUCUGUUGGUUGACGCCGCUGAUGCACCGCGGUAACAAACAGCGACUCAACGAGAGCGACAUGUACGGCGUUCUGCCAGAGGACCGCUCAGAAAACCUGGGAGAAAACCUACAGAGAAUUUGGACCCAAGAAGUAAGAAGUGCGACGAAGGAGCUCCGGGGUCCCAAACUGACCCGGGUUCUCGUUAAGGCCUAUGGGAAAUCCUACGCUUUAGCUGGGCUGUAUGUUUUCUCACUGGAAGCCAUUAAGGUUGUCCAGCCUCUUCUUCUGGGGAAAAUAAUUGAGUAUUUUGAGAAGUACAACCCAGACGAUGCUGCUGGUCUUCAUGCGGCGUACGGCUUUGCUGCCACCAUGUCCGUCUCCACCUUCGCGCUGACGAUCCUCCAACAUCUUUACUAUUACCAGGUUCUCCGAAUUGGCAUGAGGAUUCGAGUGGCCAUGUGUCACAUGAUCUACCAGAAGGCUCUGCGUCUCAGCAGCGAGUCGAUGGGACGAACAACCACCGGGCAAAUCGUCAACCUCCUUUCUAAUGACGUAAACCGCUUUGACGAGAUCAUCCUAAACCUGCACUACCUGUGGGUCGGACCGCUUCAGGCGCUGGUCAUCGUCGUUUUCCUGUGGUCUGAAAUCGGCCCUUCCUGUCUGGCCGGCGUGGCCGCCGUCGCCCUCAUGAUGCCGGUCCAGACGUGGUUCGGAAAACUGUUUGGCAUCUUCAGGAGCAGAACGGCCGUCCUCACCGACAGCCGGAUCCGCAUCAUGAACGAAGUGGUGUCUGGCAUCAGGAUAAUCAAGAUGUACGCCUGGGAGAAACCGCUGUCGGCCCUCAUCACUGAAGUCCGACGGAAAGAAAUCUGCCAGGUUUUAAGGAGCUCCUACCUGCGCGGACUCAACAUGGCUUCCUUCUUCGCCAGUAGCAAGAUCACGGUUUUCGUGACGUUCGCCGCCUACGCUCUGCUGGGGAACGCCAUCACGGCCAGCAGCGUGUUUGUCACCGUGUCACUCUACGGCACCAUUAAGCUCACCGUCACGCUGUUCUUCCCUCUCGCCAUCGAAAAGAUGUCAGAGACGAUUGUGAGCGUUCAUAGGAUUAAGAAUUUCCUGACGUUACAAGAAGUGGAGCGAAGAACCUUUGAACUGCACCUGGAGGAAAUGAAGGAGAGCGCUGUGGCGAUGGAGAAGCUGAGCUGCUCCUGGGACAAGAGUUUGGACUCUCCGUCUCUGCAGAACAUUUCUGUCUCAGUGAAACCGCAUCAGCUUUUAGCUGUGAUUGGACCCGUAGGGGCUGGAAAGUCUUCGUUGCUGAGCGCCAUCCUGGGAGAGCUGCCGCGCGACACGGGGGCGCUGGAGGUCAGAGGUCAGCUGGCCUACGCCUCCCAGCAGCCCUGGGUUUUCCCCGGUACCAUCCGCAGCAACAUCCUGUUUGGGAGAGAGCUGAACCCGAAGAAGUACGAGAAAGUCCUGCGCGCCUGUGCCCUGAAGAAGGAUCUGGAGCUUUUUCCUGAUGGAGAUCUGACUCUGAUCGGGGACAGAGGAGCCACGCUGAGCGGAGGACAGAAAGCUCGCCUUAACCUGGCCAGGGCUGUGUACCAGGAAGCAGACAUCUACCUGCUGGACGAUCCUUUAAGUGCCGUCGAUGCUGAAGUUGGAAAGCAUCUUUUUGAACAGUGCAUCUGCGGGCUGCUGCAGAACAAAUGUCGUGUGCUGGUCACGCACCAGCUGCAGUAUCUGAAGGCCGCAGACAAGAUUCUGGUCCUCAGGGAGGGCCACAUCAUGGGUCAGGGGAGCUACGGGGAGCUGCAGCGCUCCGGCCUGGACGUGGUUUCACUGCUGAGGAAAGACGAGGAGCAGGACUCCGAUAAACUGUCUCUGCACAGUCAGUGGACCAACUUCUCCCACAGUUCCCACAGCAGCCUCCUGCCAGCUGACACCGGCUACUCAGACCAACUUCCUGCGGAAGCGGCUCCAACGCUCGCAGAAGAGAGUCGAGCAGAAGGAAACGUCGACAGCCACAUUUACCUGAAGUACUUCACUGCCGGCUGCAACUCUCUGGUUCUGCUGCUCAUCGUUCUCAUCAGUGUCAUAGCUGAGGUUGCGUACAUCCUGCAGGACUGGUGGCUGGUUUACUGGGCGAGAGCCGACGUCUCCAACAGCUCGGCUCCUGUCGACAGCAUCAGAAACGGCGUCAACGCCACGCCCACGGACGCAGAGCUCCACCUCCCCUUCUACCUCGGCGUUUACUCAGGUCUCACCGCGGCCGCCGUGGUGUUUGGUUUUGUCCGGAGUUUGCUCAUCUUCCACGGUUUGGUGAAAUCGGCCCAGACUCUUCACAACAACAUGUUCAACGCCGUCCUUCGCACUCAUGUUCACUUCUUCGACGUCAACCCCAUCGGACGAAUUCUCAACAGGUUUUCUAAGGACAUCGGCCAAAUGGACUCCAUGCUGCCCAUAACCUUUGUGGAUUUUUACCAGCUGUUCCUGCAGAACCUCGGGGUCGUGGUGGUGGCCGCCUCCGUCAUCCCUCUCAUCCUCGUCCCCGUCGUCCCUCUGCUCCUCUUCUUCCUCUACCUGAGGCGCUACUACCUGCACACGUCGCGGGACGUCAAGCGACUCGAGUCGACAACUCGCAGUCCAGUCUUCUCCCACCUGUCGUCGUCUCUUCAGGGUCUGUGGACGAUCCGAGCGUUCGGAGCCGAGGAGAGGCUGAGGAAAACCUUCGACUCCUACCAGGACCUGCACUCAGGCGCCUGGUUUCUGUUCCUGAUGACCUCCAGGUGGUUCGCUUUGCGGCUCGACAGCAUUUGUUCCAUCUUCAUCACUUUCACGGCGUUUGGCUGCAUCCUGUUCAGAGACGGCCUGGAGGCCGGGCAGGUGGGGCUGGUCCUGACCUACGCCGUGACCCUGGUGGGAAACUUUCAGUGGACUGUGAGACAAAGUGCAGAGGUGGAGAACAUGAUGACGUCGGUGGAGCGAGUGGUGGAGUACACGGAGCUGGAGAGCGAAGCACCAUGGGAAACGGAGAAGCGUCCUCCUCCCGAUUGGCCGAGCGAAGGGGCCGUGACCUUUGACACAGUCAGCUUCUCCUACACCGCAGACGGUCCGCUGGUCCUGAAAGACAUCAGCGCUGCAAUUAAACCGAGUGAAAAGUUGGGGAUCGUCGGAAGAACCGGAGCCGGGAAAAGCUCCCUGAUCUCGGCUCUGUUCCGUCUGGCAGAACCUCAGGGAAAAAUCUACAUCGACGGUGUUUUGACCUCUGACCUCGGCCUGCACGACCUGCGCCAGAAGAUGUCCAUCAUUCCUCAGGACCCGGUGUUGUUUACCGACACGCUGAGGAAGAACCUGGAUCCGUUCGGCCAGCACUCUGACCAGGAGCUGUGGAGAGCUCUGGAGGAGGUCCAGCUGAAGUCCGUAGCCGAGGAUCUGCCGGGGAAGCUGGAGACGGUUCUGGCCGAGUCCGGCUCCAACUUCAGCGUGGGUCAGAGGCAGCUGGUGUGUCUGGCCAGGGCCGUCCUGAGGAGGAACCGCAUCCUCAUCAUCGACGAGGCCACAGCCAACGUGGACCCCCAGACAGACGAGCUGAUCCAGAAAACCAUCCGGGAGAAGUUCAGGUUCUGCACCGUUCUCACCAUCGCUCACCGCCUCAACACCAUCAUAGACAGCGACCGCAUCCUGGUUCUUGACGGUGGCAGCAUCCAGGAAUUAGACCGACCCUUCGCUCUGCUGCAGAACCAAGAUGGCGCCCUGUACAAGCUGGUCCAGCAGACGGGCGAGGCUGAGGCGGCCGCUCUGCUGGAAUCAGCCAGACAGGCUGCACACCGAACCCAACCCAACGACUCCCAGGACCCGAGAACGGAGCAGAACAUUCCAGAACCAAAUGAAAUGUGAUGUGGACGUUCAGGUGUGUCUUAAAGGAGAAAAUCAAAACGCACAGAGUUUUUACAGACAUGAAUGUCAUAUUUAUAUUUUUAACAUAGGAACAGCUCAACAUUAGACAGUUUGACCUCAUGAUGCACCGAUGAUCUGAUGUUUAGUCUAGACCGUCUGGAUUCAUUUGAAAUGUUUGAAGUCUUUUAAACACAGGCAUAAAUGUUCAGAAUUAUAAAUGUAUCCGAUAGCUCUGCACCAGUGCAGCUCAUUUAAAUACACCAGUAGCUCCUCUAGUUUAAUAAAUAAUGAAGAAACUCAGACUGAUGAAAACAAAAGGUCGACUACCUCAGCGAAACAUGUAAAUAAACGGUGGCAAACAUUAGAAACGGUUCAGAAAGUGUGAUUAGUAAUUAUAAAUAAAUAGCAAAUUAAAUAAUGAAGAAAUGUUGCACAGAGCACAAAAUAUUAGAGUGAGAAAUCUAACUUUUCAUUGACACUUGAUGUUUUUUAUAUCAGAACUGAAUCUGGUUUGAAUAUUUUUGGAGCCAGUUUGUCCUUCCACUCAACUUUCCAAAUUAUGCAUCAAGUUCAAAUGAAAAUAAAGGAACUACAUCAUUUUUAGAAAUUACUUUUUAAAAAUUUUCUGUUUUAUGAAAAUGCAUGUGUAGAGAAAAGAACAGUAAAUAUACCAAAGACGGAUGAGUUUUUAGUUGCAAUGACGGUUCUACAGAAACCCUGUGGCGGGUCCGGCUGCCGCGCAGCGGCGGCUCAGAUUAGCUCCAAUCGUUCACUGAUUGAAGUAACUUUUUGUGACACUGUGUCUUCACUUUAUAGUCUAGUUUUAUCUAAAUACAUGCAUUUUAAAGUAAAACCAGAUAGAGUAGAUUAGAAUUAUGAAAUUACUGGUAUAAAUGUCUUUGUUGCCUUUUCAGUGUUUGUCGUUGUCAGUUCCCAUGUGAAACGAGUCGCUCAUCCUCAGAUUUCCUGUGUAUUUUUGUCUUUACACUCCAAAUGCUAAUUUAAUCCCUGUAAGGAAGAAAGAAAAAUGUUAUCUGUGAAUGUAAACUGUUCAAUUUUGUAUGUAUUUUCAUAAACUGGAGUUUGUAAAACU
RNA transcript from Poecilia latipinna (sailfin molly), 5384 nucleotides. It is a transcript of the gene named multidrug resistance-associated protein 4-like, with no coding region annotated. The transcript is spliced from 32 exons. Lineage: Eukaryota; Metazoa; Chordata; Actinopteri; Cyprinodontiformes; Poeciliidae. The record is from RefSeq and is a predicted model, not a curated record.